This 634-nucleotide long non-coding RNA is filed under the name Helianthus annuus (common sunflower). The record is from RNAcentral. Lineage: Eukaryota; Viridiplantae; Streptophyta; Magnoliopsida; Asterales; Asteraceae.
AUUUGUGCGGUGAUGAAGCAUAUAUUGUGGACUAGAGUUUCUGAUGUUGGGCUCUUCUUCCCAUUUCUUUUGACGACAAACCCUUGGCUGUCUGAGCACCAAUUAUCAAUCUUUAUUUUUUCUCCAAGUUUUCUUAAUUUUGUAAAAUAUUUUCACUCAAAUUUUGAUUGUUUGUAAAUUAGGUUAAGAGCUAAUGAUGAGAAAUACAAUUAUCUUAGCGGAUUUCAGUGAGAUUUCUUUGAAUCAAUGAUCUGAUUGUUACACACACUGAAGCUCUUAAUAAUUUAUUUUUUAUAAAAUGGGAUGUAAAUAAUAAUAAUAAUAGCAGUGAUGAGGUAAAACACAUGAGGAUGUGUUUAGGGAAGUGGACAAGACGAUUAAAACCGUUUUGCCGUGAUCCCCAAUUUAAACGACUUCUCCUUCCACUGAGCUUUUUUUUUUAUUUUCAUUCCAACUUUUAUUCAAAAAUACAGUUUUUGUCGAUUUUGAAGAGAUAUGGUGCGUCCAUUUACCAAUUCUGGAGGAUAAGUUGGUUCCUCACGGUGUAAUGGCUCGGACGCUAUAUUAAUGUUUGUGGCCAUCCUGAUCAAUGGGUUCUCAAUACCAUUGCAUCCUGGAAACACCUCAUACAUUU